GACGAACGCUGGCGGCGUGCUUAACACAUGCAAGUCGAACGGAAAGGCCUGCUUUCCCUUGUGGAUUGCGGGUACUCGAGUGGCGAACGGGUGAGUAACACGUGAGUGAUCUGCCCCCAACUUGGGUAUAAGCCUGGGAAACUGGGUCUAAUUCCCGAUAGGACUGCAGGGUGGUGCCUGUGGUGGAAAACGAUUUUCUAGUGGUUGGGGAUGAGCUCGCGGCCUAUCAGCUUGGUGGUGGGGUAAUGGCCUACCAAGGCGGCGACGGGUAGCCGGCCUGAGAGGGUGGACGGCCACAUUGGGACUGAGAUACGGCCCAGACUCCUACGGGAGGCAGCAGUGGGGAAUAUUGCACAAUGGGCGGAAGCCUGAUGCAGCGACGCCGCGUGGGGGAUGACGGCCUUCGGGUUGUAAACUCCUUUCGACCGCGAGGAAGCCACCUGGUUGGAAGGGUGGUGACGGUAGUGGUAGAAGAAGCACCGGCUAACUACGUG
RNAcentral lists this ribosomal RNA (494 nucleotides) under uncultured bacterium. RNAcentral's name for it is "partial 16S ribosomal RNA". It matches the Rfam family "Bacterial small subunit ribosomal RNA", at positions 28 to 507 of the family's 1533-position model. The record is from RNAcentral.